RNAcentral lists this ribosomal RNA (292 nucleotides) under uncultured Methylophilaceae bacterium. RNAcentral's name for it is "partial 16S ribosomal RNA". It matches the Rfam family "Bacterial small subunit ribosomal RNA", at positions 505 to 796 of the family's 1533-position model. The record is from RNAcentral. Lineage: Bacteria; Pseudomonadati; Pseudomonadota; Betaproteobacteria; Nitrosomonadales; Methylophilaceae.
GUGUCAGCCGCCGCGGUAAUACGUAGGGUGCGAGCGUUAAUCGGAAUUACUGGGCGUAAAGCGUGCGCAGGCGGCCUGAUAAGUCAGAUGUGAAGUCCCCGAGCUCAACCUGGGAACUGCGUUUGAAACUAUCAAGCUGGAAUAUGUCAGAGGGGGGUAGAAUUCCAAGUGUAGCAGUGAAAUGCGUAGAGAUGUGGAGGAAUACCAAUGGCGAAGGCAGCCCCCUGGGAUAAUAUUGACGCUCAUGCACGAAAGCGUGGGGAGCAAACAGGAUUAGAUACCCCCGUAGUCC